UGCAGCUCGCGGGCGCCCGGCCCUCCUCCCGUCUCCUGGUAACCGUUGCCAGCCGGGUCGGGCCCAGCGGCCGGGCCGCCGCUGCCGCCGACGCCUCCGCCGCCGCCGCCUCCACCUGCGUUGCAGGUAUUUCCCAAGGCUUAAGGUGUGCAUCACCCAAAUGAAUCUCCGUUACCAACUUUGUAUGGGAGACUGUCUCCCUUAUUGGAUUGCCGUCCGGGUUUUUCGAAAUGUUAAGGUGAUUCAAAAAGGAUCGUCUAAGUAUUUUAUGUUAAGCCAGUGCCCAAAUUUUCCAGCAUUUGCAGUUUUUUUCUCUUUCGAAUUGCCAUCCAUGGAUGGAUGUGGUCUUGGAGGCCUGUUCACAGUCUAGCUGAUUAUGUGACACUACUCCAGUUUGCAAAUGUAACUGCAGUCACCUUCUGUUCCUCUGGAUGAGUAGCUUUGCUCGCUGCUUUGGAUAGUUCCUGACAGAGGAAUGUCAGACUACCGAAGUUCAAACAGAUUGUUUGUUGAUCCAUAUUCCAACAUCUGCAUUUUCUUGUCUUCACGGAAUACAGCAAGUAGUUCUGUGAAUUUGAAGAAUGGAAACUGAGACCAAGUUGUGAUGCAUUAGGUGCUCUGUGAUAAAGGAAAGGCUUAAUGUAGCAUUUUUCUUUCUUUGUGCCACUUUCAUGUGUAUGUUCAUGGACUCCUCAGUUUCAAAAUUAUUCCUGUCUUUUUCAAGCAGAUAUUUAAAAAAAUACACCUAAUGGCUUUUAUUCAAUUAAAAUAAACCAUUGAUGCUAAUAUUGUUUGCUAUCCGUUUUGCUUGUAAAAUAUGAAUUUUGUGGAAGGACUUCUAAGCAAUAAAAAGCAUG
Molecule: long non-coding RNA, 857 nt
Organism: Hypanus sabinus (Atlantic stingray)
Lineage: Eukaryota; Metazoa; Chordata; Chondrichthyes; Myliobatiformes; Dasyatidae
Exons: 4
Source: RefSeq, a predicted model, not a curated record